Non-coding RNA from Pelobates cultripes (western spadefoot toad), 239 nucleotides. Lineage: Eukaryota; Metazoa; Chordata; Amphibia; Anura; Pelobatidae. The record is from the annotation of a GenBank genome assembly.
GUUAGUGUAUGUAUGUGUGUGUUUGUGUGUGUUAGUGUAUGUGUGUUAGUGUGUGUGUUUGUGUGUGUUAGUGUAUGUGUUUGUGUGUUAGUGUAUGUGUGUGUUAGUGUAUGUAUGUGUGUGUUUAUGUGUGUUAGUGUGUGUGUUUGUGUAUUUGUGUAUGUGUGUUAGUGUGUGUGUAUGUGUGUUAGUGUAGAUGUGUGUUACUGUAUGUGUGUUAGUGUAUGUGUGUUAGUGUG